GAAAGUGAUGAGCUCUGAGGGGUUGAGCACCCAUCAAAAGCUCUGCAGAGGGGACCAUCAUUAACGGCAUUUACGAAGACAUCCACUUAUUCCAACAGCAGGAGGAAGACCAACGCUUCUUAUCAUAAACACAAGUUCCUGCUAUACACAACACAUCCUUGAAUUCUAGGGAAGCCAAGAUGUACAUGAAAUGACUGCAGGUCUUAAAGGUCUUGAAUCUAAUUGUGGCACUGGGGCAUAUGUAGAGAUAAAUAUCACGUAGCAUAUGCUAAGGUGAUUUCGAAGAUCUAUUCUAUCUUAAGACACUGUAAGUCUAAUUAUU
Molecule: long non-coding RNA, 322 nt
Filed under: Homo sapiens (human)
Lineage: Eukaryota; Metazoa; Chordata; Mammalia; Primates; Hominidae
Description: non-protein coding LINC02480:11
Source: RNAcentral